UGUGCAUUAUAUUUAAGUUCAACCAUGGAGCCUUCUAGAUUGUACAUGUGGAAGAAUCUGGUGGAAUGUAGAUGAUAUCCAACAGCCAGUAGUGCUCGGAUUUGCCAUCUCUGCACCGUCGGAUUGGUUUCAUUCAACGACCAUCUUUCAAAGUUAUUCGCACACUAUAUAGGGGUAUAGAUAUAGAAAAUGAGAUGACAUGUAUCCCAAAUCCUAUGAGUAGGAUUAGGAAGAGAGAUGUCAUUUGGUCCACAUCAUAGGAAUUUUUUCAUUCAGUCUAGGCUCAUGUUUAUUUUCUUUUGAAAUGUGAAGGAUAGGAAUCAAUCCUAUAUAGGAAUAGGAGGAAUUCAUUCCUAUGAACCAAAGGGCUCUAAAGGAAAAAUUCCUACAAGAAUCCUAUCCUAUAGAAUUCCUAUGAAAUUCCUCCAAACCAGAGGAGGCCUUAAUUUAUACCUGCAGUCUAGAGGCAUCCAAUGAAUGUAUUACAGUUGGCUACCGCUAUUCUUUCCACUUUCUUCUUUGAGCUUUAGUAACUUGGUGAUAGAAUAGCACAUUUAUUCUGGAGCUACAAUGAUGAUCAGGUGCUACAACUUUAUCUGCACAACAGUCUGCUUUCUUACAUUGCUUGUUAAUUUUUAUGCAUUAAGACGUUGUGCCCAUGUCGCCCUCUGGUUACACUGUUAUGAUUGAGCAAGGAUUACACAGACCUCUAAAUUCAUGUCAGUCCAGCUGUACUUGAGGUAAUUGCAUGGGUAUGCUUUGUACUUCCUCUGUUCCUAAAUAUAGGUCUUUGUAGAGAUUUCACUAUGGUCUAUGUACGAAGCAAAAUGAGUGAAUCUACACUCUAAAAUGCAUCUACAUACAUCCGUAUGUGGUCUGUAGUGAAAUCUCUACAAAGACUUAUAUUUAGGAACGGAGGGAGUACUAGUUACCGCUUUAGCUCUGUUGUUUGCAUGCCAUUUUUGUCUUGUUGCUUGAACCGUGGAAGGUUGAUCUCACAGCGGGCCUAGAUGGGGAGGAUCAAGGAGACCAAGAGCAAUGUACAUUUAGCAUCAAAUUCAGAAAUGCAGUAUGUUGUGGGAACAGAUGUUAUAUUGUGUUCCAUUCUCUUGGUAUUGUCAGAAGGUUACAGUGUUCAAGAAGAAUGGUGGAAUGCUGGCUCUAAUUCAAUGUUCAGUGGUCACAAAGGCGUGAGAACAAGAAAAGCAGCAUUAGUAAAUUGAUUCACUGCCAAGAAGUCUUAUUCACAGGAGCUAUUUGUUGUCACCAUGUCUUGUUCAGUGGAGCAAUUGUGAUUGUUGAUGUUCAGUUCUUCUGGAUCCAAUCCAUGCUGAUUGUGCUGUCCCGCAGGUAUUAAGGCCGGAGCGGAGCAGGAGCAGGAGCAGUGGAGCGGAUGGACACCGAACGGGGCCUAAGUAUGUAAAAGAAGAACGUGCCAUCAGCAAAAGUGUUCUCAAGAGAAUGCAGCUCAUCCAGAAAAAGACUUAGCAAUGUGCAAUAGUCAUCUCCAUGUAACUUCAAAAUGAUGAAUAAAUUCGAUACUGCCAUUAGCUUGCAGCAGCAACGGCGCUGGUUGUAACGGCGGCAAUUUUCUCCCUGUAAUUUCAAAUACAG
Long non-coding RNA from Triticum aestivum (bread wheat), 1614 nucleotides. RefSeq lists it as uncharacterized. The record is from RefSeq and is a predicted model, not a curated record. The transcript has 5 exons. Lineage: Eukaryota; Viridiplantae; Streptophyta; Magnoliopsida; Poales; Poaceae.